Molecule: ribosomal RNA, 266 nt
Filed under: uncultured bacterium
Lineage: Bacteria
Description: partial 16S ribosomal RNA
Rfam family: Bacterial small subunit ribosomal RNA
Source: RNAcentral
UGCAGUCGAGCGCACCUUCUGGUGAGCGGCGGACGGGUUAGUAACGCGUGGGAACAUACCCUUUUCUGCGGAAUAGCCUUUGGAAACGAAGAGUAAUACCGCAUACGCCCUUCGGGGGAAAGAUUUAUCGGUGAAGGAUUGGCCCGCGUUAGAUUAGAUAGUUGGUGGGGUAAUGGCCUACCAAGUCUACGAUCUAUAGCUGGUUUGAGAGGAUGAUCAGCAACACUGGGACUGAGACACGGGCCAGACUCCUACGGGAGGCAGCA